GAUUAACGCUAGCGGCAGGCAUAAUACAUGCAAGUUGAACGGCAGCACAGGUAGCAAUACUGGGUGGCGAGUGGCGCACGGGUGCGUAACACGUAUGCAACCUACCCUAUACAGGCGAAUAACCUUUAGAAAUGAGGGCUAAUACGCCGUAGUAUUACAGAUGGGCAUCUAUUUGUAAUUAAAGAUUUAUCGGUAUAGGAUGGGCAUGCGUCCCAUUAGUUAGUUGGUAAGGUAACGGCUUACCAAGACGAUGAUGGGUAGGGGAUCUGAGAGGACUUACCCCCACACUGGUACUGAGACACGGACCAGACUCCUACGGGAGGCAGCAGUAAGGAAGAUUGGGCGAUGGCCGCGAGGCUGACCCAGCCAUGCCGCGUGCAGGAAGACGGCCUUAUGGGUUGUAAACUGCUUUUAUACGGGAAUAAUAGAGUGUACGCGUACAUUUAUGCAAGUAUCGUAUGAAUAAGCAUCGGCUAACUCCGUG
RNAcentral lists this ribosomal RNA (484 nucleotides) under uncultured bacterium. RNAcentral describes it as "partial 16S ribosomal RNA". It matches the Rfam family "Bacterial small subunit ribosomal RNA", at positions 28 to 507 of the family's 1533-position model. The record is from RNAcentral.